RNAcentral lists this ribosomal RNA (490 nucleotides) under Latona dysoni. Its description in RNAcentral is "partial 16S ribosomal RNA". It matches the Rfam family "Bacterial large subunit ribosomal RNA", at positions 1808 to 2609 of the family's 2925-position model. Lineage: Eukaryota; Metazoa; Arthropoda; Branchiopoda; Diplostraca; Sididae. The record is from RNAcentral.
CAAAAACAUGGCUUUUUGUAAAAUAAAAUAAAAAGUCUAACCUGCCCGGUGGUAAUACUAAACGGACGCAAUUUUGUGUUAAAGUAGCGUAAUAAGUUGUCUUUUAAUUGUGGAAAAGUAUGAAUGGGUUGACGAUGGAAAAUCUUUAUUAAAGGCAUAAGUUAAAAUUUACUUUUAAGUGAAAAGGCUUAAAUUAGUUUGUUAGACGAGAAGACCCUAUUGAGCUUAGUACCUUAUUCCCAUAUUGGGCAUAAGUAUAUUUAUUCGGGGUAGAUUGGAAGAGAUAUAAUGUCUUCUUUAAUUUAAGUUAAGAAAUAGUUUGAACUAUAAACAAGAUAAAUAGUUACCAUAGGGAUAACAGCGCAAUUACUUUUGUUAAGUUCUUAUUUAAAAAAGAGUUUGCGACCUCGAUGUUGAAUCAAGAUUUCUACCAGGUGCAGAAUAUUGGUGAGUGGGACUGUUCGUCCUUUAAAAUCUUACGUGAUCUGAG